CACGGGGUUGCGAGCGUUGUCCGGAAUUACUAGGCGUAAAGGGCAGGCAGGCGGAUCCAUAAGUUUAUCGUUUAAGGCGUCGGAUUAACCGGCGUAGGGCGGUAGAUACUGUGGAUCUGGAAUGCGGUUGGGGAAGACAGAAUUCCUGGUGUAGCGGUGGAAUGCGCAGAGAUCAGGAGGAAUACCGAAGGCGAAGGCAGUCUUCCAAGCCGUUAUUGACGCUCAACUGCGAAGGUGUGGGUAUCAAACAGGAUUAGAUACCCCUGUAGUCCCUGA
This 276-nucleotide ribosomal RNA is filed under the name uncultured prokaryote. Its description in RNAcentral is "partial 16S ribosomal RNA". It matches the Rfam family "Bacterial small subunit ribosomal RNA", at positions 524 to 800 of the family's 1533-position model. The record is from RNAcentral.